This 250-nucleotide ribosomal RNA is filed under the name uncultured bacterium. RNAcentral describes it as "partial 16S ribosomal RNA". It matches the Rfam family "Bacterial small subunit ribosomal RNA", at positions 355 to 597 of the family's 1533-position model. The record is from RNAcentral.
UGGGGAAUAUUGGACAAUGGGCGCAAGCCUGAUCCAGCAAUGCCGCGUGGGUGAAGACGGCCUGCGGGUUGUAAAGCCCUUUAGGUGGGGAAGAACGAUGCCGGGUGAAUAGCCGGGUGUUAUGACAUUACCCACGGAAUAAGCACCGGCUAACUCCGUGCCAGCAGCCGCGGUAAUACGGAGGGUGCGAGCGUUAAUCGGAAUGACUGGGCGUAAAGCGUGCGUAGGUGGUGGUGUUAGUCAGCCGUGA